AACGAGCGCUGGCGGCAGGCUUAACACAUGCAAGUCGAACGCACCUUUCGGUGUGAGUGGCAGACGGGUGAGUAACGCGUGGGAAUCUACCCUUCUCUACGGGAUAGCUCCGGGAAACUGGAAUUAAUACCGUAUACGUCCUGAGGGAGAAAGAUUUAUCGGGGAAGGAUGAGCCCGCGUUGGAUUAGCUAGUUGGUGGGGUAAAGGCCUACCAAGGCGACGAUCCAUAGCUGGUCUAAGAGGAUGAUCAGCCACAUUGGGACUGAGACACGGCCCAAACUCCUACGGGAGGCAGCAGUGGGGAAUAUUGGACAAUGGGCGCAAGACUGAUCCAGCCAUGCCGCGUGAGUGAUGAAGGCCCUAGGGUUGUAAAGCUCUUUCAGUGGGGACGAUAAUGACGGUACCCACAGAAGAAGCCCCGGCUAACUUCGUG
RNAcentral lists this ribosomal RNA (433 nucleotides) under uncultured bacterium. RNAcentral's name for it is "partial 16S ribosomal RNA". It matches the Rfam family "Bacterial small subunit ribosomal RNA", at positions 29 to 507 of the family's 1533-position model. The record is from RNAcentral.